CAAGAGAUAGCUUAACCACUAAAAGCAUUCAACUUACAAUUGAAAAAUGUUCACCAUGAACUCCCUUGA
RNAcentral lists this transfer RNA (69 nucleotides) under Tarentola mauritanica (Moorish gecko). Its description in RNAcentral is "tRNA-Val". It matches the Rfam family "tRNA". From Rfam's summary of the family: Transfer RNA (tRNA) molecules are approximately 80 nucleotides in length. Their secondary structure includes four short double-helical elements and three loops (D, anti-codon, and T loops). Further hydrogen bonds mediate the characteristic L-shaped molecular structure. tRNAs have two regions of fundamental functional importance: the anti-codon, which is responsible for specific mRNA codon recognition, and the 3' end, to which the tRNAs corresponding amino acid is attached (by aminoacyl-tRNA synthetases). tRNAs cope with the degeneracy of the genetic code in two manners: having more than one tRNA (with a specific anti-codon) for a particular amino acid; and 'wobble' base-pairing, i.e. permitting non-standard base-pairing at the 3rd anti-codon position. Lineage: Eukaryota; Metazoa; Chordata; Lepidosauria; Squamata; Phyllodactylidae. The record is from RNAcentral.